AUUCUUUUACUUCCUCAAUUUUUUUGUUUUUCAGACUUUCUAAAAUAAGCAUGUGCAGUGAACACAUUGAAUAAUUGUGUUUAAUGGCAAGAAGUUCAACAUUUAACUAUAAAUACGGAAUUGGGACAAAAAAAUACAGACAUGAAGGCAUAACCAUUAAGUCUCAACAUCAUGAUCAAAUUUUCAUAAGGAAAUAAUUUAUUACAACUGAAGUUUUGAUUUGUUAAAAGUAGUUAAAGUCAGCCACAUGAACAGAGAGAAAUAUAACUUCAAUUUUAUUUCUUGUAUCACAGGAGCUGUUGACAGUACAUGUGGGGUUAUCCAGACACUGUUUCAAAAUGAUGUGAGUGGUCGGGACGUUAAUCAUCUGCCGACUCACUGUGGGAGGAGGACUCGGCGCCAGGUGCAGCGCAACAGCUGCUGUCCCUCAGUUACCGGGAUCGUGUCACAAUUCAUUUCCAUUAUGGCAGUCUGGUGUUCAAAAUCUGCUUCAAGCUAGUCACACAUAUGCUGAACGGCUGCUGGGUAAGCAUGUUUCCCAAGGUAAUAUAUGAUACUGAGCAGGUUCUGGGUUAAUUAAUAUAUUUCCGAUCUGCAAGAAUCAUUUGGAGU
This 612-nucleotide long non-coding RNA is filed under the name Chinchilla lanigera (long-tailed chinchilla). RNAcentral's name for it is "lncRNA (ENSCLAG00000027622.1)". The record is from RNAcentral. Lineage: Eukaryota; Metazoa; Chordata; Mammalia; Rodentia; Chinchillidae.